RNAcentral lists this non-coding RNA (21 nucleotides) under Caenorhabditis elegans. Lineage: Eukaryota; Metazoa; Nematoda; Chromadorea; Rhabditida; Rhabditidae. The record is from RNAcentral.
UAACAGAACUGUUUCAUAAUU